RNAcentral lists this ribosomal RNA (1216 nucleotides) under Bacillus sp. (in: firmicutes). Its description in RNAcentral is "bacterial SSU rRNA". It matches the Rfam family "Bacterial small subunit ribosomal RNA", at positions 44 to 1248 of the family's 1533-position model. Lineage: Bacteria; Bacillati; Bacillota; Bacilli; Caryophanales; Bacillaceae. The record is from RNAcentral.
GGUCCUAAUACAUGCAAGUCGAGCGGACAGAAGGGAGCUUGCUCCCGGAUGUUAGCGGCGGACGGGUGAGUAACACGUGGGUAACCUGCCUGUAAGACUGGGAUAACUCCGGGAAACCGGAGCUAAUACCGGAUAGUUCCUUGAACCGCAUGGUUCAAGGAUGAAAGACGGUUUCGGCUGUCACUUACAGAUGGACCCGCGGCGCAUUAGCUAGUUGGUGAGGUAACGGCUCACCAAGGCGACGAUGCGUAGCCGACCUGAGAGGGUGAUCGGCCACACUGGGACUGAGACACGGCCCAGACUCCUACGGGAGGCAGCAGUAGGGAAUCUUCCGCAAUGGACGAAAGUCUGACGGAGCAACGCCGCGUGAGUGAUGAAGGUUUUCGGAUCGUAAAGCUCUGUUGUUAGGGAAGAACAAGUGCAAGAGUAACUGCUUGCACCUUGACGGUACCUAACCAGAAAGCCACGGCUAACUACGUGCCAGCAGCCGCGGUAAUACGUAGGUGGCAAGCGUUGUCCGGAAUUAUUGGGCGUAAAGGGCUCGCAGGCGGUUUCUUAAGUCUGAUGUGAAAGCCCCCGGCUCAACCGGGGAGGGUCAUUGGAAACUGGGAAACUUGAGUGCAGAAGAGGAGAGUGGAAUUCCACGUGUAGCGGUGAAAUGCGUAGAGAUGUGGAGAAACACCAGUGGCGAAGGCGACUCUCUGGUCUGUAACUGACGCUGAGGAGCGAAAGCGUGGGGAGCGAACAGGAUUAGAUACCCUGGUAGUCCACGCCGUAAACGAUGAGUGCUAAGUGUUAGGGGGUUUCCGCCCCUUAGUGCUGCAGCUAACGCAUUAAGCACUCCGCCUGGGGAGUACGGUCGCAAGACUGAAACUCAAAGGAAUUGACGGGGGCCCGCACAAGCGGUGGAGCAUGUGGUUUAAUUCGAAGCAACGCGAAGAAACUUACCAGGUCUUGACAUCCUCUGACAACCCUAGAGAUAGGGCUUUCCCUUCGGGGACAGAGUGACAGGGGUGCAUGGUUGUCGUCAGCUCGUGUCGUGAGAUGUUGGGUUAAGUCCCGCAACGAGCGCAACCCUUUAUCUUAGUUGCCAUCUUUAGUUGGGCACUCUAAGGUGACUGCCGGUGACAAACCGGAGGAGGUGGGGAUGACGUCAAAUCAUCAUGCCCUUUUUGCCUUGGNCCUCCCCGCUCCCCAAUGGAAAAGAAAAAAAGGU